RNAcentral lists this ribosomal RNA (253 nucleotides) under uncultured bacterium. RNAcentral's name for it is "partial 16S ribosomal RNA". It matches the Rfam family "Bacterial small subunit ribosomal RNA", at positions 524 to 776 of the family's 1533-position model. The record is from RNAcentral.
UACGAAGGGAGCUAGCGUUGUUCGGAAUCACUGGGCGUAAAGCGCACGUAGGCGGAUGUGUCAGUCAGGGGUGAAAGCCCGAAGCUCAACUUCGGAAUUGCCUUUAAGACUGCAUCGCUAGAAUCGUGGAGAGGUAAGUGGAAUUCCGAGUGUAGAGGUGAAAUUCGUAGAUAUUCGGAAGAACACCAGUGGCGAAGGCGGCUCACUGGCCCGAUACUGACGCUGAGGCACGAAAGCGUGGGGAGCAAACAGG